Non-coding RNA from Pangasius djambal, 68 nucleotides. The record is from the annotation of a GenBank genome assembly. Lineage: Eukaryota; Metazoa; Chordata; Actinopteri; Siluriformes; Pangasiidae.
UCCAGGGCUAGUGGUUAGGCCAUGGUGCUCUCAGCGCCACAGCCUGGGUUCAAUUCCUGCCCAGGGAA